UGAUAGUAGGAACUUCCCAGACAGCCCAGCGGCCUUCCUUCGCACCUGACGUGGAUUCUCAUUCCCGGACAUCUAGAAGAUAAGUCGAGGGCCAUGACUCACAGAGAGGCUGGAAGGGGGCCGCCGCGUCAGGUCCCACCGGGAGGGAUUUUUGAGUCAGCUUUGGAGCUGAGGAUAUCCAGGAUAUGUCAUCUUAAGACCACAUGAAAGCAAAGCAUCACUUUUGAACCCAGCGCCAAGACGCACAGGGCAGAGCAGUUCCGGCACGUGUUGUGUCACAUGGGUAUUGUGCCUUGUGUGUCGUUUGACUGUCUCUUGUCUUUUCCCUUAGCACUUUGAGAGGCCUAUCAGAAACCCUGGCAUCCUUUUCAGCAUCACUGAUCUCUGCAUUUCUUGGUCUGGCACCAAUGACGUAGGACUUUUGACUCAGGAGCUCAGACAGGCAUCAGAACCGCACCUCUCCUUAGAAGCAUCCAGUCAAGAUGUCUUUGAAGACAGACAGCUGCGCCCCGCAAGGAUCCAUUAUUGCGGAUUAGGACUCGUAAGAACGUGAGGAUAGGUAGAGGAUUCUGACCGUAGGAUUCUCAGACAUCCAUCUUUGCAGUUCUUAGAAAUCAUUCAGUUAGCAUCUUCUUCCUCCAGGGUUCUCUGAGCCUCUUCAGCUUGCCAUCGGUCUCACCUCAGUCAUUUCAUUUUGCAUUCUCUCAGUUCUUGCAGUCAUUCCUCUUGCCAAGUGACUUCUGUCCCUGUUGCGUCCCCUUUGUUUGUCACGUCCUGUCCUGUGUCACUGGUGUCUGCACAUAUUUGUGUCGGAGCUGCUCUGCCCUGCUGCAUAGUCUAGCGCCAUAGGACAAAUCCUGGGGCCUUGAAAUUUGUGGUACGGGGUGUAGUUGGAGUCUAGAUGGUAUUCCUAGAUGUGCAAACAAGAUGUUUGGAGGUGUGAAGUUAUCCUGCAGCCCUUUCACGUUUGUCCUGAAUUUCUUUCAGAUGCAGACCGAUAAAAUGCAUAGCAGAGCACCCCAUCCCAGGAAAUAAAGCCUUCUAGCAGCAGUCAAGGCGAGGUGGUCAAGGCAAUCCAUUUGGAGUACACAUAACUCCCCAUCAGACACUGGCCGACGGACUGUGAUUGUUGUUUUUUGGAGCCCUGUGGAAGUAUUACAGGACUCGGUGAUGAAGCCACUGCCUUUUCGAUUUAAAGGAGUCACCCAGAGAGACUUUAGCAAUGCCGAGGAGUUG
Passer domesticus (house sparrow) is the source of this 1236-nucleotide long non-coding RNA. RefSeq lists it as uncharacterized. NCBI's taxonomy places the organism in Eukaryota, Metazoa, Chordata, Aves, Passeriformes, Passeridae. The transcript has 3 exons. The record is from RefSeq and is a predicted model, not a curated record.